UUGAAGCUAAGAUGCCAAAAAUGGCUACAGAUGAAGUUCCCACGAGCCCAGCUAAGUUCUGGAUAUAUCUCAUAACCUAAAAAUGAUAAAUUGUUCUAUUUAAACUAGGCUGGAAAAACUGGAAAAAAAUACCCAUGCGGGGUCAGUGCGGGCCGCGUAAAAUGGACCGCUGCUGUGCUAGGCUCUUGGACUUUAAUUUUGGGUUCUUUGACUUGGGCUUCGCGGAUCGCGUAAAAUGGACCGCGGCCGCGGAGGCAGCUAUCGCGGUCCACACAAUAAUGACCGUAGACCGCGUUAGCAUUUUCCAUCUCUCUGAAUAUCUCUUCCGCGGACCGCACAAGAAGGCAGUUCGGCCGCGGAACCUUCACCGUGGACCACACACUAUGGACUGCGGUCGCGUUUCCUGAGGCCUGGUUUUUGUCAUCUAUCUGAAUACCUCUUUCGUGUACCGCACAAAAAGGCAGUGCGACCACGAAACUUUCACCGCAGACCGCGCACUGUGGAUUGCGGNNNNNNNNNNNNNNNNNNNNNNNNNNNNNNNNNNNNNNNNNNNNNNNNNNNNNNNNNNNNNNNNNNNNNNNNNNNNNNNNNNNNNNNNNNNNNNNNNNNNNNNNNNNNNNNNNNNNNNNNNNNNNNNNNNNNNNNNNNNNNNNNNNNNNNNNNNNNNNNNNNNNNNNNNNNNNNNNNNNNNNNNNNNNNNNNNNNNNNNNNNNNNNNNNNNNNNNNNNNNNNNNNNNNNNNNNNNNNNNNNNNNNNNNNNNNNNNNNNNNNNNNNNNNNNNNNNNNNNNNNNNNNNNNNNNNNNNNNNNNNNNNNNNNNNNNNNNNNNNNNNNNNNNNNNNNNNNNNNNNNNNNNNNNNNNNNNNNNNNNNNNNNNNNNNNNNNNNNNNNNNNNNNNNNNNNNNNNNNNNNNNNNNNNNNNNNNNNNNNNNNNNNNNNNNNNNNNNNNNNNNNNNNNNNNNNNNNNNNNNNNNNNNNNNNNNNNNNNNNNNNNNNNNNNNNNNNNNNNNNNNNNNNNNNNNNNNNNNNNNNNNNNNNNNNNNNNNNNNNNNNNNNNNNNNNNNNNNNNNNNNNNNUUUUAGUACCUUUUACCACUUGUUCCUUCUCUCGUAUCUCCCCCAAACUUAGACUUUUGCCAUUGCUCAAAGGAAGAUCGAGUGCCGAAAGAGGGUAUAUUUUAGAAUGGAUAUAGGCUGAUAGUAUUGGUUGUUGAAAGAAAAAGGUUUAAGGCUCAAAAGGGUUAACUAGGGAGUAAAUCAUUGGUGGGCUAUGAAAUUGUUCAACUAUCAUUUGGAUCAAGGAGAGCCUAUAAUCACUUCUCAAGCCAAAUUUCACUUAAGAUUUCGCCUAAACAGACAUUCAGGGCAAGUUCUAGACCAUUGGCUCAGAACUUGGACUCACAAUUCAAUUUCUCACCGCACAAGCUCAAGGAUUGUUAAAGACAUAGAGUCGGGGACCCACAACAACCUUAGACACGAUUUGAGCACACAAUGGUCCCGAAAGACCACAUGAUGAUUGUUUGGUCUACACAAGAGUCUCAAGGUCACGACUUUCACCAUCCUAAACACAACGAAUUGUCUUUGACUAUGGGAUCAAAGACAACUGUGUUAAGCCCAAAUGAAGCUUUGCUUGAGGAAACCUUAACUACAUAUCUAGCAUCAACUGCUUAAACAACUAGCAUAAAAAUAGAUCACGUAUUUUUAGAGUUCCAUUAACAAAUUUAAUUGUUAUUACCAUUUUCAUGAUAAACAGUUUGACGCCCACUGUGGGGCUAAAAAUAAUAGUGAUUAUUUUCUUGCUGGUUUCGUCACACAAUGCAAGUUAUCUUUCACACUUUUUCUUGUCCAAGAUCUUCAACUUCAGGUCAAAAUGUUUGGCUCAGCGAACAGAGUUGAGAACGACAACCUUGAAGACCACGGAGAAAAUGGUGUGGUUGUUCCAAUUAUUAGGGUGCCACCACAAAACCCCAACAACGCGCCUGGACUGAUUCCAGCGGAUGCGGGUUUGCAUGACGCCCAGCUCGGGAAGAACGGGAAGUCAGCCUUCAUGUUGAUUUUGAAAUGUUGCAGGCAGAACAAUUAGCUAUCGCUCAGCUGCAGAGCCACCCGAAGACUCCCAGAACAGUAGCACCGGAAACUACUCCCCCUACCGAACAGGUACUAGAGAGAUCAAGCAACAACGGAUCAGUAGCCGAUCCUUCCAUCAUAAAAAUGCUUGAGGACCUCACCAAAAGGAUCGAGAAGGGCGAGAAAAUGAUAGCAGCCAACGACAAGAAGGUCGAAACCUAUAACUUCAGAGUUGACCAAAUCCCCGGCACACCCCCGGUCCUGAACGGUGUAGAUUCGAAGAAGUUCGUACAACGGCCGUUCCUAGAGGAAGCGGCUCUGAAACCUAUUCCAAAGAAGUUCAGAAUGCCAGAACUCCCAAAAUACAACGGGACCUCAGAUCCCAAUGAACAUGUCACUGCCUAUACAUGUGUAGUAAAGGGCAAUGACAUAAAAGACGAUGAGAUCAAUGGAAACGCUCUCGAAGGGGGCCAUGAUAUGGUAUCACAACAUGGAUCCAAAAUCCAUUGAUUUAUUCACCAUGCUAGCAAACUCCUUCAUAAAGGCACACCCUGGUGCCAUCAAAGUAGAACAAGGAAGUCCGACGUAUUCAAGAUUAAGCAGAGGGAGAAUCAAAUGCUACGAGAAUUCGUAUCUCGCUUCCAAACGAAACGAAUGGAACUACCCUUGGUAUUUGACGACUAGGCGGUGCAGGCCCUCACACAAGGCCUGAACGAACGAAGCUUAGUAGCCUCAAGGCAGCUGAAAAAGAAUCUGAUCGAGUACCCCGUUGUAACCUGGUCAGACGUUCACAACCGGUACCAGUCAAAGAUCAGGGUCGAGGAUGACCAGUUGGGAGCACCCUCGGGCUCAGUAUAUCCAAGUAGACUCCUGGCGAAGGAGUCAAAACCGGACAAAGAGAUGUAUCAACCGUACACCGAAGAUAGGAGGAAUGCCCCGAGGCGCAACCCGCCUCGCAACGAUCGAUUGGUGAGCCGAGGAUAGAAUUCUCAGGGACUCAUCAAUAGAGGCAGAUUUGAUGGGGACACGGGGCCAACAGGGGCACCUCGCCUAUCAAAAUACAACUUCAACGUCGAUGUAUCAGACAUCGUGUUUGCCAUCAGCAAAAUCAGGGACGCCAAAUGGCCCAGGCCUAUACAGUCGGACCCUUCACAAAGAAACUAUAACUUGAUAUGUGAGUUUCACCACUCGCACGGGCAUAGAACCGAGGAUUGCCGACAACUCCGGGAGGAGGUGGCCUGGCUACUCGAUAACAGACACCUUCGGGAGUUCCUCAGCAACCGAGCUAAGAACCAGUCCCGAGAAAGAGAAACCACCAAAAAUAACAAAGCAGACGAGUCCCAACACGUCACCCAGAUGAUCUUUUAGGACACACCCUCGGUUGUGUUCAAAUAAAGGACCACAUCGCGUCCGCCAAACAAAUGCCAAAACCCAAGAGUGCCAUCGCCACUAAGGUAUAAUCAUCCUCCCCUUUCUCUAUUUUUACUUCAUGAUAACUUUUGCAUAGGCCAUCGACCAAAUUAGUCGAGAUGACGAUCCAUCUCGAAAACCUUGGGGUUCCGAGGCGUCCGUUGUACUCUUUUCCUUCGACCGAGUUUUAAUCCCAUAAUGGGUUUUUAUCGGCAAGGUUUUUAGCGAGGCAAUGUCCACACGCUACCUAAGGAGGAUCCAACAAGUGUACAAGGCUUCUUUUGCAAUCAACCCCGAACACUGGAGGGCACCCCCUUGAGAGGUCAUCCACUCGGAAGAACCAGUGAAUGACAAACAAGGUUCCUAUAGGAAACGAUGUACCAAGCGAAAUAGUCACAUCAACCGUGUCCGCAGAAGUCGUGCUCAUGACAACAAAACAACAUGUACUUAUGCCAAACAAUCAAAAAAUAUCUUUCGCCAAAGCAUCUCGUACUCCAAAAACAAUUCAGUAUUUUCACAACAAGGAUCCCUCCACCGAGAACACCCCGAAAUACUCCGAGACUAAUGUCAAUAACUAGCCACCCGCAUGGCCUCAGGGUUGGAACUUCACACUCAUAAGCCCUCAGCGAGGAAGCACGAAAGUCACGAAACAUCUCCAAAAGGGAGAAAAUGUCCCGGACACUUGGAGACUAGCAUCGCUAAUUAGGAAAGCAUAUGACCCCAGGGUCGGAAGCUCCAAAAUUGUAAGCCCUCAAUAAGGUAAUUCCGAGUUCACGAGUAAUGGCCCCCGAACCUAAGCAAACUCAAUGACUUGGAGACUAUCGCCAAUCGCCACUCAUCUAAAAACCCGAGGCCAUAAGACCCCGGGCGGGCAGACUCGGUCUAGUAAGACCUAUCUAAGACAACAACAAAACUGUAAGACCUCAAGCAAGGCAUGAAUCAUACUUGUACCAAGUAGCAAUAAAAUUUUAAGACCUCAAACAAGGCAUGAAUCAUAUUUUCAGCAAGGCAUGAAAAUUUUGUAAGACCUUACUACAUGCAUAAACUCAAUCCUGAAGUUUAGGCUAUAUGUCUCAUUUGUCAGACUCCUAAAAGGGCAUACCCUCAAUAUAGACGCCUAAGCUACUACACUCGAGAUCAAAAAUGGAUCCGGCCAAAACAUAAAUGACCACGGUCAGAUGGCUGUACCAGCCAAAUUAACGAGACUCGGGGACGCCCGACCAUCGCUACAAAAUAAUAAGCCAUCACUUCGAAUCUAUUUCGAAAAGAACCAGUUAAACAGGCUACCCUCGAUAGGCAAAAGAGCUUCGACCAUGUCAGCUCCAAAUCACAAGGCUUAGAGCUACUCAACCUACGAGCUAAACCUUCCGAGGUGCUUGAACAUUGCCGCAAACGACUUGAAAUCGAGGUUCUUCCCAAACGGACGACGGGUCAAGCAAAAUCAUUUCAAAAAAUACCUUAACGAGAAGAAAACAAAGCCUACAUAUGCCUAAGGGCAAAGCGUAAGAGCCAUUGUCGCCAGCCUAAUGAGCAUUAGGGGCACACACUUAAAGGUCACAUCGACCAAAAGCGUAAGAGCCACUGUCGUCGGCUUAAAAUUUGAAAGCUUGAGGGUCAAAAUGAGCUUGAGUCGUAACCCGAUUUGGAGACCGAACCCAAAAUAGUUAAGUAUAUAUGCCUAAGGGCAAAGCAUAAGAGCCAUUGUCGCUAACUUAAUGAGCCUUAGGAAAACACAUAUAGAAGGUCGCUUCGACCCAAGGCAUAAGAGCCAUUGUCGCCAGCCUGCAUAAAUACAAAACUUGAGGGUCGAUUGAGCUCGAGUCAAAACUCGACUUAGAGACUGAAACCAAAAUAGUUAAAAUGCAUAUGCCCAACGGCAAAAGUUAAGAGCCGUUGUCGCCAGCCUAACGAGCCUCAGGGCAGUACCAUGGAUUUAAAGAUUUUUACUAGCUCAAAGGCGGAAUCGACCUGGCUGAAAUCUUGACAAAUAGAAACAUAGAAUACACAAAUUGUAGGGUUCCCCUUUAUACAUACAUGCGAUAUAAUACAAACUCCAUUUAGAACAUACUGUGAAAGCUAUGUACACAAGAACGAGGCAGGGAGUAAAACGUCCCCUCUCCGAGACUAUGGUCCGGCGACCCCUUCCUCGCCAUUUUCAGCAUCAGACAGAAGGAACUUGGCAUCAUACUCCUCCCCUUUAGCUUGCUCGAUCUCUUCCGAAAGGUCAAAGCCCCUAGCGUGAAUCUCCUCGAGGACUUCCCUCCGAGGUUUGCACCUCGCAUACUCCUUGCUGCUGCUCGUAUGAUCAAGGGCUCUAUUCAGAUCAGCUUUAGCAAUGGUAACACUCUUUAAAUAGGCCAUCGUUUUCUAUCCCGUCCUGGUGUUGAUCAUCACAACCUUGGCCCAGACAUUAACCACCUCGGCCUUCGCCUUCAAAAUCUCGGCCGAAGGCCUCACAAUAAUAUUCGCCCGUACAGAAUCAUUCAUGCGAACGGUUUGGAUUUGUGCCUCAAGAGCAGAAACUAUGGCUAAAGCACUCUCUUUGGCAGCAAAAUGGGUACUUACAUGCACCUGCAGCUCAUGAAUUUGCGUUUGGCUCGACCAAUCUCGCCCCAGAGUUGUCCUAGCUCCUCUUCCUUGCUCUCCAACUAAAAUAUCAAAAUAUCAAGCUACCGAGAUGAAAAAGGGAGUGCAAGCCAGCAUGGAAUGCAGGAUACCUGUCUUUCUAGGCAGAUCUCACGGCUCCGGCUCCAUCCCACCUUGCACCGUAGGGAAACCAUCUAACUUUCCUUUUCCACAUAAUGAAGCUUAAGGGAUUUUUCCCUACCCAAAGCCUCCCGCAACGGGGCCUCACAGUGGAGCAACUCGGAUUUGAGCCUGUCGAAGGCCUAUGAAAGAAAACUAAAUGAAAAAAGAAAGGCACAGGACCAAAAUAAUCUUAUACCAAUCAAAAGCUCACCAUAAGGCCGAGCCGCCGAGCCUUGCCAAUAUCCGAUGGCUUACUUCCUUCAGAAGGUAGCCGAUUGACCGAAUCACUUUUUCUUAACCGCUGAGAAAGAGUCGCCCCACUGCAAGCUCCUUCACCCCGGAGCGUCUUUUCGUUUGUCGUCAAUCCUCGAUCCCGAGGCCAGCAAUCUCUCCUCCUCCCCCAUAGGACAUGGACUCAUUUUGGAAAAAUCUCCAAUACCUGCGGUAGUUGAGUUAAUAAGCCGACAAGAAAAGCGCCAUUUUUAGGAAACAAAGAACCGAACACCUACCAUGAUGCUUCACCUCCCAUAUCCCUUUGGAUAGAUCUCUCCACCGGUGCCUAUCAUAAAUCAAGCAAGCUGCCAGCUUACGAGACCACUCGGCCAAAUCAGGGACCUUGUUCGGUGACCAAUGAGUUGCUACAAAUAUAGAAUGGAAAGAUAUCAUUACGGAGCCUGCCUCUAGUCAAAAUGAUGAUAAUUCAGAUGAGACACUUACGUAUGAUGUUCCACUUCUCAGGAAACAGAAAAAGUAUCUAGGGAUGACAUCGAUCGUUCGAAUCCGAAUGAACCGAGUCAUCCAUUAGCGAUCCUCGUCCUCUUCAUUACCGACGACAGGAGAUCGAGUGGAUCAAUGCUGGAGGGAAAUCAAACCCUGAUAACAUAGUGGCCGAUAACCUCACGAGAUGGCUGAGGGUAAAUUCUAUCCCGGCCUUAUUAGCAAAAUAUCUCAUCAUUUGUACUAUUUUCCAAAGGAAGGGGUGAGUUUGCGCCAAUGUAAGACGAUAUCUCCUGCAUAAAUCAGGCACAACCCAGUUGGGGGGACCCGACGCAAAAAUAUACGUGUAUACACUCAAAAACCCCUCGACGUAUGUCGUGACGCUCUUUUCGGUAGAAGAUACUUGUAAUGCCGCACCUUCUACCCAUCCACAAUCUUUUCUGAUCGUUUCGAGUUUUUUCCUCUCCCACUAAUGAGAUGAUCCUCGACACAUGCUCCCGGUGACCCGGAACAUUGGGAGGCCUCCCCAACGUGAGGGCUCUCCUUGAGGCAGGGCACCCCGAGGCCCGCUCACCGGGCACCGGCGAUACAUCACUAUCACCAACCGAAUGUUGAGGAUAGGAAGAACUCCCCUCUCCUUAGAGGUCGGACGCCGACGUUGCAUUCAUUACUACGAUAGAAUAUGGGGGAAAGAUGUGGAUUUGAGAAAAAAAUUCUAAGUUGAAGCAACGGACGGACUAACACAAAACGCCAGGCUGUGUGGAAAAGGUAAUCUCUCAUAGUAGCACAAUCACCAGUGGAAAGGCACGUGAAUGAAUAUAUAGGGGCAGAGCAGCAACUGCCCGCCUACCCAAAAGGCCAAUUAAUUUUGGCCGCAUUAACAUCACCCUCUCCUAGGGAAACGUACUGAAAGAAUCACCCCGGGUCCCCCCUUUAUCAUGUCGAGCAAAUGUUGCAAUCCAGCUGAAUUCGAGAAACUAGGGGCCUUGGGGGCUCCUCAGUAUUGCCAACAUCGGCCCGUUAGAAGUUGUCGAUUUAACCCCGAGGCAUAGUCCAAUUUGAGGGUACCGAUCGCUCCAAGAACGGAUUUCAAAAGGCUAACGUCAAAAGUAGAAAGUCUAAAUCUGCGAAAGCUGAGGAACAAAAAGAAAAGAAAGAGAAAAAAGCUGGAAAAACAGAAAGCAUAAAAGUCCCUCUUUUCACUUUGCCAAAAACGUAUCCAUAAGACACAACUUUACAAAAUCCAUUCCCCGGGGACUACAUACAAAAGGAAAAAGAAAGGAUGCAAACGACUUGAGGACUACUCUUCAUCAUCACUAUAAUUGCCCUCAUUUGGGACAAUUAAAAGCGCCAGUUCUCUCUCCAGUUCGCUGGCUUCCUCGAGAUCAACUAACAGAUAGAUGCCCCGGGCUCCUAUCUCCUCCAUGGAUUCUCUCUUCGCCUCUACCUUAGUGUGAUCAACAGCCCGAGCUAGCUUCUGCUCGGCUGCUAUCGAUAUGUCACGAGCUAUUUUAUGCGCCGUGGCUACAUCAUCCAGAUAAAUGGCAGCAUUUCUUUCAAUCUUGGACUUGGCUGCGACCGAGGCAGCAACUUCCUUGCGAGCAUUCUUGAGAAGAUCAUGGGAUAAUGCCAACUCCUCAGUAGUUACCUCACUUUGCUUCCUCAGCCCGAGGAUCUCUUCGCACCUCCGCCUUAGCAUGAUAAUAGCCCGAGCUAGCUUCUGCUCGGUUGCUAUCGAUAUGCCACAAGCUAUUUUAUGCGUCGUGGCUUCAUCAUCCAGAUAAAUGGUAGCAUUUCUUUCAAUCUAGAACUUGUCCGCGACCAGGGCAGCAACCUUAUUGCGAGCAUUCUUGAUAAGAUCAUGGGAUGACGCCAACUCCUCAGUAGCUACCUCACUUUGCUUCCUCAGCCCGAGGAUCUCCGCGUUCAGUUCUGAUCUGUGAACCAUUUUGCUCAACCUACAAAAGAAAGGUAAGCCAAUUUGGGUUGGAAUGUGGGAGCAAAGGUCGGGUACGAGCAGGGCGAGGUACCUGCGCAGCGAGCUCAGCCUUUUCCCGAAGCGCUCUCUCCGAAGCAGCUCGGAGUUCUCCCAAUUCUUUCUCUCCCCGGGCAGAGUGAGCCUCCGAAUCUUGUAGCAUCAAGGUAAGCUUCUUACACUCCCCUUCACGGUAAGAAAGCUCCUCACGAAGCUGAACGAAGGCAUGAUCAUACAUAUCCUUGCACAACUACAUAACGAAAAAGUUAGAAAGACAAAGAAUGACACCUAAGACUGAAAGAGAAAUAUAUGAGAGAUAACUAUCACCUGCCACAUGAACCUCUUCGCUACCUUGAUUAUGCCAGGAACGUCAAGACCGAUACUAUCGCUAACACCAUCGAAGAUGUUGGCACAAGAGCCUCCUCCUUGGAGAGGAAUCCCUAUUUUGGGGACGUUCGCUUCUUUAGCGUCCCUCAAUUCCCCUAACGAGACCUGAAAUCAUGAGAUAAAAUCAUUCAUGUCGCCAAUUUCCCCAAAAGUCAACCCUUGCUCUUGAAAAGCUCCGGUCCCCGACCCUUCAAGAUCGAUAGUAGCGGUCCCCCCAACGAAAACUGCACCAAACCCAGCCAUGCGAUCUGAGCCACAUCAACACCCCCUCAAGGGUCUCUAGUCUACGGGACCGACCUGCGUCGGCCAUUUUAGAUUCAACAGUCUCCGAUCGAGGCACCUGCGAGGCUCCCGCAUUUGACCUCAUCCUCUGGGCCAACUGGCAUUCAUCGUCGCUGUCAUCCUCACCCUCGGCACCAGGAUUUGUCUCUGAAGUUGAAGUAGAGGUCCUAGUAGUGGUUUGAUGUUCGAGUAACCUGGAUUUCUUUAUCGUACAAAGGUCGACAACCGCCUUUCCUUUCCUCUUCUUACCAUUCCGAGGAUCCGAAGCCUCCGUCCUACCACCAGGGGGCGGCCUCAUCUCCAUAUUCUCGCCAAGGCCUGCACAAGCAUGAUAACCAUAAUUUGUCAGCACGAGGAAUGUAGGGAGAAACACAGAUCUAAGACAUAGGCAGCAGAGAAGCUCUACCAUGAUUCUUGGCCACACAUCGCUCAUUGUCCAGGUCGGUCCAACAUCGAACAUGAUACGGGAAUGCGACGUCCAACCGUCUGAUCCACCCUAGCAAGUCCGAAACUACCUCAGGGUACCAAGCAGCGGCUAUGUGAAACGACAAAGAGAUCAUCAUUCAGGGAAAAGGGAAGAAAAUUGCAAAACAUGGUUAAGAGAUAAUCGCUUAUGCUGUAUGUUCCACCUCUCUGGGAAAGGCAUAUUUCGAGCUAGAAUGAAGUCCGAGGCCCUUACUGGACGAACCUAUUCAUCCAUCCUCGAUCCUUCCCUUCGCCGAUGCUCGAGAAAAAUGAUUUCUUGGAUCAAUUAUGGAGCCUGAUCAAACAUCGAUAAAAUUGAGGGUUGUAUAGCCUAAUCAAAUGGUUGAGGGUAAAAACCUCGCCCCCAACCCUUCGGUGAAAUGACGGAGCAUUAAUACUAUCCUCCAAAUAGAGGGAUAGAUCUGACCGAGCGUCACUUGAUAUUUGUCGCAAAAAUUUUAGGAUAACCGGAUCUAUUUCUGGGGAAGAAGGUUCAGAAGAUUCAGAGGACUCAGUAGGACACAAGGUUAACGGGUAGGUAUACACAUAAAGGAAGUCGUCCUUGUAGUCCGUUAUAUUUUCAUCAGGGCUGGGAAUUUCCACCUGCACUGCCUUGCCCCAUCGGUAGUCCGUCUUCACUGUUUCGAUAUUGGUCACGAUACUAAUGUAUUGGGAAACAUGUUCACAUCGGCCCGGAGUGGAUGAAGUGGCAUCGACGGUAAAAUCUUUUGACAUGUCAAGCUUGGAGGGAGUGCAAUGUUCCAAGGUGGGUACCGCUUUGGCUUUCUCUUUGGACGACCGAGACGAAGAUGCAACUUUGUUCCGCUGAGGAACCAUUCAAGAAGUCCUGGCCAUAUCAAUGGUAAAAUUUCCUCUCAGUAAGAAAGAUGGAAGAAUGUAAAAGAAGAUGGGUAUGAACUAUUGAAUCUGAAGAUGCUACAAAAAUGAGGAUUAUCAAACAGCCGAUGUAUUUAUAGGAACCGCUUGGGCAGCGGAAAGGACGAGCCAAUAGCAACUCGUGGGUUCCUCGAUAAUUGCAUUUGACGGCAACCCUUGCACGGUUUUUUGGGACAUGGCAUUUAAUGCUCUUAUAGGAUGACGUCACAACAAUGAUGCUCUCAGAACGACGGCUCAAAAUCGUUUCCUAUUACUUCAUUCCAGGAAACGCGAAGACUAUCUGUAUACGGUGAAAUCGGAGGGUCCAAUUCCUCAUUAUUGAGGUGUUUCAGGAAAUCAUCUCGAGAUCUCGAGGCUGCAAGAUUGCAGUCGAGUUCUCUCCCUCGAUGUUCAUUUACGCCCGACCCAACGACGAUGCCAAGGAUGGGGAGUUCCCAAGGCGAGUGGAUAGCACUGGUAGAGCCUGGUGUCACAUCUAGUCAUCCUAUCUCCAUACCUUUACAAUUAAUGAAUUUUGUACUUUGCUAGGAUUCCCCUCCUAUAUAAAGGGGAUCCUUACCACUUAGUAAAGGGCUGUUGUUGCUCUAGUUAUUCUAUAUGUACAAGAACUCUCUCCUUUCUCUCUAACAUAUUCCCUCGAUAUUGUUGCUCUUACUUACCACUUUCAUACUUAUUCUUCAUUUAUUGUUUAUUAUUGGACAUAAAAAGCCUCUUUUAAUUAUAUCCUAGCUAUUAGCCCUCUCCCAAUUAUCCACAAUAGCUCAAGCCCGAGCCCAAGCAUGGACCUCGAGGCCCCUCAUCGGUUGGCCCGAGGACUGAGUAGCUAACCCCUUGGUUUGAUUAUAUCUCUAUUUUAUCUUGAAUUUCAUCUUCUAUCUUCACAUAUCUAGCAUCAAAUACUUAAACAACUAGCAUAAAAAUAAAUCACGUAUUUUUAGAGUCACAUCAACAAAUUUAAAUAUUAUAACCAUUUUCACGGUAAACACCCUAAUUCUUUGUUAACCUUUCACCGUGUUAAAUCCCAAACACUAAGCAUGAACACUAAACAUACGAUUUAGCAGGCUCACUCGUCUUAAAUAAACCACCACAUAGCUCAAUGUAGACAUUCCAAAGUACACCAAACAAUUUUACCAAACCAUUGCAGUAAUCUAACAUGACCUAACAUGAAAACUAGAACUAAACAAAGAAAGAAUUUCAGUUCAUUUAAAGACUUACCCAUUCUUCCAAACAUUAUUUUUAUACUAUGAAAUAUCGAGAACACAUUGUUUUGCCUUAAUAAAGUACUCCAGUAAUAUAAAGAUAAUGGCAAAAUCACCAAGUCAUGAAUCCAAACAGUGGUGAAAUAAAUUUCCAAAGCAGUGAAUUGAUUUCUUUAGCAACUAAGAUUAAGCUAUUGAAUCCUCUUACGUACGUUCCAUGAUCGAAGUCAAAAGAAAGGGAACACAUACAGACUAUUUUUUGUCUCCAUAAAAAUAACUCAUACACUCUAACAAGUAUUCAUCAAUCAUACAUACAUCAAUAAGUUAAUACAAAGUUAAAAGAGCAACAACUUAAUAAAAGGGAAUGUAGCAAUUCUAGGAUUAAUCAAACUUCAAUCACACCAAAAUAAAGCAGGGGAGAUUAAGAAUAACCUGAAAUUUAGAUUUCAAUUAAUUUUCAGUAGCUGAAUAGCCGAAAAAAUAGUCCACAAUGAGCCAAGUAAAGAUAGAGACGAAGAUGAACCGAGCUUAACUAAGCAGCAACAACGAUUUCAGCAAAAAUAGUCCUUUAAUAGCUCGAUCUAAACUCGAAAAUCCCAGAUAUUGCACAGAAUGUCAGCUAAGUGAAGCAACUUGUGAAAUCUGGGAAGAAAAGAAAUCAAGCUCUUCUCUUCAAAUCCCAAUGUCUAAUUCUUAUUUCUUCUUUGUUUUUUUUCUUUAUCUCUUUGUUUUUUCCCCUUUUUCAGAAUUUCAGAUCUUUCUUUGAGUCCUAAGAGAGGUGAGACGAAGAGGUGUGAGCAGACCGGAAGGGGUGAUGGUCUGUUCUUCACGGUGGUCGCUUGGGUUGAGUGAGAAGUGGGGAAGAAGAAAGAAUGGAUAAGAGGAAGAAAUCUCAGAUGCGCCGUUUCUGUGGUUUCUUUCAAGGGGAGGGGAAUUGAAUUAGGUCUCUAGCCUUUUUUCAAAAUAGGAAGGUCUCCUUAUUAGAUUAGAAAAUGGGGUUUUUAAAGGAAGGGGUCCGAUUGGGCCAAUUAGGGAAUGGAUAGGGAAAGUUUGGGUUAUUUCGGUAACUGGGCCGAUGCAAAUUCCCUAGACCAAUUGCAAUGAAGAAUAAACAAGUCCCUUUCUUCUCUCUUUGUAUUUUAAACUUAGCCCCUUAAUUGAAACACAAUUUCAAAUUGAUUUUUAAAGAAAUGUCCUAUUAAACUAAUUGAUUAAAGCUAAUGUACAUUUUUUGUGAUUUUCAUGUAUUAAUCUAACAAUUGAAGAGUAAUUAAUUUCUAAAAAUGCAAAUUAAACCUAAGAUGACAUGAAAUGAAAAAUGUGACAAUUUUUAUGAUUUUAAAAUAUUAAAAAUGAUGAAAUGCAACUAAAUAAAGAAAAACUCCUAAAAUCCAUUAAAAUUAUUUUUGGUCUAUUUUUAGGAGUUAUUUCCAUGCAGGGCAAAAAUUAGGUGCUCACAGCUGCCCUCUUUGUUCGGAAACAUGAAGAGUUUAUGGGCAAAGAUAAGUGAGCAAUUACGAGCAAUUUUUUCUUGUUUGAAACUCCAUGGGAAGCAUUUUUUGAAAAGUCUGACCAAACCUUGCUUCGGAGGUUGCCUACAUAUCCUUGACUUUAAAGAAAUCAGGUCGGUAUAGUUCUGGAAAUUUUGGUAGCUGGGACUACCGAAAAACUGCAAUUUCCUCCUUAUUACACCAAAGUCAAAGAUGAAAAAGAUUAACUAAGCCUAUAAGCUACAAGUUAGAAGAUUCCUAUCUAUGAGUCUUCUAAAGCUUGAUCUUGAGUCUUGUCUAGUUCUUCACACAGACUUUGAUCUGAAUCUUGAUGCUUGUUAGCUGUAGUUACUGGUUCAAUCUUCUUCAGCUUUUUCAAAUCAAACUGAGAUAUGCGAAGCUUGCGACUUCAAUCAUAUCUUGAACAGUCCACAUUUUUUCUCCGCUUCUGCACUUUAAGUUCGCUUCUUUUUAUUUUCUUUUUGUUUUUCUUUUAUUCGAGAUUGAGACUUUUUCUUUUGGUUGUUUCGAACCUUUUGUCUCGAGGUGUAACCAGCUCAGAAACCAAAACAAACAAACGAACAAAAAUUUUUCUGCCCCAGUUUUCACUAGGAAUAUUUUGUGAGUUAUUGUAACCAAAACUCUAUACUACUUCAUUAUUGGAAGCAAUAAAAAUCAGGAUUGUGUAUCCUUGGGAAUAAGCGAUUAGGGAGUGGUGACUCUAUGUUUAGAAUGAAAUCAACAAGGGAUUGGAGACCCUUGUAUGCGAUGAAGUCGGGGGAAUCCAUUUCCCGCCAUUAAGGUAUAUUCGAAAUGUCAUGACAGCAUCUCGAGGAUAUGGGAUCAUGAUCGGGCUCCCUAUCUCGAGGAUCAUCCACGGCCCUGCAGUGGCUCUGAGGUUAAGGGAUCUGUUCGCGGCCUAGAAAGAGUUAUGAAGAUGGGGGACUCCCGAGGCAAGCAUCUAGAAUCAAUAGGCUCUAGUGUCUUGUCUAGUCGUGCCAUCCCCGUAUCUUUACAUUUAAUGCAUUCUGAACGAUACCGUAUUCCCUCGCCUAUAUAAGGGGAACCCAUACCAUUUUGUAGGGGACUGAUGUUGCUCCAUUUCUCCACAAAUGCAAUAAUAUCUCUCUCUCUCUCUCUCUCUCUCUCUCUCUUUUUCUAAGUUGUUCGCUCUCACUGGCCUAUGGCUAUUUUAGCAUUUAUCAUUCUUUUACUUGUUCUUCACUAUAUCAUUCAAUAUUUGCAGCAUAGAGCCUUGCUCGAUCAUAUCUUUGCCCGUUACCCCAUUCCCGACUACCCUCGAUAGCCCAAGCUCGACUCAAAACUUAGCCUCGAGGCCCCCGUCGACCGGCUUUGCAUCCGGGCAACAGGCCCCCUUUGGUUUGAUUACUGCCUCGUUUUAGCUCGCUUUUCAUCAUUAUACUUAAAAUUCUUAGCAUAAACUGCUUUAACAACUAGCUCGAGAAUAGGUCACGUAUUUUUAGAAUCUCAUUUGCAAAUUUAAUUGUCGUUACUAUUUUCAUGGUAAACAGUUUGGCGCCCACCGUGGGGCUAAAAAUAAUAGUGAUUAAUUUCUUGCUGGUUUCGUCACAUAGACGCACAUUAUUUUCACACUUUUUCUUGUCCAAGAUCUUUUGAUUUCAGGAUAACGCCCAGCUCGGUAAGCAAAAUCGAGAACGACUACCCCGAAAGUCACUGCAAAGACAAUAUGGCUUCCCCGGAGGUUGGCACAACAUCGCAGGACCCCGAUAACGCAUUUGGAUAGAUUCAAGCGGAUGCGGGCUUACAAGAUGCACAAUAGGUCAACAAAGCCUCGCGCACCAAUGGUAGCACACAAUGUGUUGACCAACAGGAAGCUCAAAAAACCCUGGCCCGGGUAGAAUAGGAAGUUAGUCUUCAUGUUAUUUUUGAAAUGCUGCAGACACAACAGUUGGAUAUCGCACGGCUGCAAAGUCGCCCGGAGACUCCCAACGCAGUAGCGCCGGGAACAUCUCUUUACGUCAAGCUAGUACCUGAGAGAUCAAGUAACGACGGAUCGGUAACUGACCCCGCCACAAUGAGGAUACUUGGGAAUCUCUUCAAAAGAUCAUUAGGUUUGUGGAAGCUCUUACAGCAACCAUCUCCCGAGGAAACGGUCCCAGAACUCGCUUUACAGAAAUCCGGAACGCCGAAACUCCCUAGGUGCGACAGGAUCUCGGAUCCCUAUGGGCGCACCAUUACUUGCGCGUGCUUGUUCAGAGGCAGCAACCUCCAAGAUGAUGAGUUCGAACCUGUCUCGCUGAGGAAGUUCGAAGAAACUCUUUCAAAAGAAACCAUGACGCAGCGCAACUGCCUGACACUUGACCUCAUAGACUUGCUUACCAUACCAAUGUGGUCCUCCAUGUAAGCACGCGCCGGUGCCAUCAAAGCAGUAUAAAGAGGGCCCGAUACACCUGAGGGCGAAUGAAGAAGAAAUGAAAUGUCGCGGAGAAGCUCCCCAUUCCCUGAUAGGACGAAUGAGAUCGCUCCCGAUUUCGGAUGAUCAGGCAACACAAGCCUUCACCUGAAGCCUA
Molecule: long non-coding RNA, 16187 nt
Filed under: Nicotiana tabacum (common tobacco)
Lineage: Eukaryota; Viridiplantae; Streptophyta; Magnoliopsida; Solanales; Solanaceae
Description: long non-coding RNA (NTAB_LNC007817)
Source: RNAcentral